RNAcentral lists this unclassified non-coding RNA (2287 nucleotides) under Drosophila mojavensis. RNAcentral describes it as "GI25702". Lineage: Eukaryota; Metazoa; Arthropoda; Insecta; Diptera; Drosophilidae. The record is from RNAcentral.
UGUUUUUUUCUAUAACUUUUAUUACUUUACUAUACCUAUUUUCAUCGAAAGUUACGGCUCAAGCUAAUCAAUUUAGAAUUGUGGGAGGUUUCGAUACCGACAUUUCGGAUGCUCCAUAUAUGGCCUCAUUGCGUGAGUUACGCAAGGAGAUUCGUGCACUGGGCAGUGGACAUUUUUGUGGUGGGACUAUUAUUAAAGAUCGUGUAAUUCUUACGGCAGCUCAUUGUUUAACUAAGUGGGUACGCCUCAGCGAAAAUGUUGCCUGUUCAUUCAGUUAAUUUUUGCUGCAGACGGAGCCCCGCCAAGGCAUUGGUUGUAGUGGGAUUCAAGUAUCUUUCCCUCAAUUGGCCGACGAUGAAGAAACUGAAAAUCUCAAAUUGGAAUUAUCAUAAAAAAUAUAGAAAGGAAAGAAAAGCAAUAUUCGAUAUUGGAUUGAUAUUCACAAUUGAAAAUAUAGAACCCGUUAAUGGGGCAAUCGCAUUUCUGCCCCUUAACACGGUGGAAAUAAGCCCUGGUACUAAAUGUCUAUUGUCUGGAUGGGGUCGAGUUGAGCACAAUGCACCCCAUAGAGCAAGUUGCCUGCAGUCAUUGUGGCAACGGAUUCUAGACAAAAGAGUAUGUUUUAAGAUCGCUAAUAGAUAUGACCUAUUGUGCACCAACUCAGGGCUUCCGACUGGGGCUAGUCGAGGUGAUUCAGGUGGUCCGCUGCGCUGCAACGAUAAACUUGCGGGUGUUAUCGCUGCCGGAGACCUACAUGGUCUCGCUUUAUAUACAGAUGUCCGGCCAUUUGCCGAUUGGAUAGAAGAACAGAUUAGGAAUGGAAUAAUGCCACUUGGCUCGUUUUGCAUUGGGAAGCACGUUGUUUUGGCCAUCAGCAUUUGUGUGGCCACCAUAUGCAAGUCGGGAUUUUAGACUCAGACUAAACCGAGUUACUUACAAUGACUUAUAAAUCAGUAGGCUUAUGAGUUUCGUUCAAUUAACAACUAAUAUUUCGAGAUUUAUAAAAUUCCAAAUUUCCUUGUCUGAAUUUUAGAAAACAAAUAUUAUGUCUCUAAUGCUAAUAUUGAUGAUUCAUAUCGUUUUAUUUUAUCCAUUGACAUCGGCGAAUGCUGCUUCAGACAAUGUUACUUUCAAAAUUAUAAACGGGUUUUCUUGCAACAUCAAGGAGACUCCCUAUCAGGUCUCACUGCGCUAUGCCUAUAGAGAGAGAAAACGAUGGGGCAGCGGCCAUUAUUGCGGUGGAACUAUUGUUAGCAAUCGUGCGAUUAUCACUGCAGCUCAUUGCCUAAGGGGGAGGCGCCAUAAGAAAGAAGUAGUAGUUGUAGUAGGAAACACUUUUCUAGACGACAGAUCUGCAACAACGAAGGAGCUGGAAAUCUUAUCUUGGCGUGUUCACCAAAAAUAUACUAAGCCAUUGAACGAUAUUGCAUUGAUCUUUACUGUCGAGCAUAUACAACCCAUUAGUGGGGCUAUUGAGAUUUUGCCCCUAAACACGAGGGAAGUCGACGUGGGUACCAGAUGUCUAGUAUCCGGCUGGGGUCAAGCCAAUCACUUUGUGCCAGAUCGCACGAAUGAUCUGAGGGCGCAAUGGAUACAGAUUGUCAGCCCUAAAAUCUGUAGGAAGCUCUAUCGUAUACCUAAAGUAAUUUGCGCCGGCGAUGAGUCCACUACUGGGCCCAGCUUUGGUGAUUCGGGGGGCCCGUUGAGGUGCGAAGAUAAAUUGUCGGGUAUCGUCUCUGUGGGAAGGCUUGAGGGUGGUCCGACCGCAUACACAAGUAUUCGGGAUUUAUACCCUUGGAUACGACGUGAGCUCAGUAGCUUCAAUGGAGCUCCGCCAAUGCGACCGUCUUGCAUCCAGAGACAGGUUGUUUUGGCCAUCACCAUUUAUAUGGUAACAAAAUGAUUCAUUCUGCUCUACGUAUUAAAACAUGUGGAAAUGAAGAAGUCCAGGUCAAAUUUGUUUACAUUCCGCUUGGAAACUGGGUCAUUGUGAGCGCGAGCGAGCGAGAUGGCAACAGCAAUGUUGUUAAGCGAUUGUUCGCCGCUGGGACGCAGCUUGAAAUCGCCAACACGAUGGCAACGUGGGACAUGCCCUACCAGCGGCGAUAACAACAAACUGAUCAAAAAAAAAUCAGCAUAACGUUCAAGCCGCUGUAAAUGCUCUAUCUCGUGGAACGAUAAUUGGCCAGAAAUCGCAACUAACUUCAAAUUAUUGUUCAUAUUUUUAUGGAAUGACCUAAGAAAUGGAAAGAAAUAAUUGUAAAUAAUUUUUAAUAUUAGUUUAGCG